GCCUUCGUGGUGUAAUGGUCAGCACGCUGAACCGGUAUUUCAGAGGUCCGUGGUUCGAUCCCCGGCGAAGGCA
Stegodyphus mimosarum is the source of this 73-nucleotide non-coding RNA. The record is from Rfam. Lineage: Eukaryota; Metazoa; Arthropoda; Arachnida; Araneae; Eresidae.